CACUGAAUGAAGGAAAGAGAUCCAGCUCCAGCCAGGCUGCACUGGUUUAGUUUUUGCUCUGGGGUGUGGAAGUGGCCAAAUGUCUUCAUUUCACUGGGCCGCAGUCUUCCCAUUUGUAAAGUGGGAAUAAUGAUGCUGACCUGGUGAGCAUCUUCGAGGAGAAAGAAAGAGAAGAUCCAAAGCAUGAAUAGUGGAAACCCUUCAGGCAAUGUACUCGUCUGGACAAAGGCGGUGAGCAGUCUGCUCUGCUGUGUACUCCCACCAUGAUGUGCUGCCCUCUCGAAUGGCCCAAAGCAAACGAGCCACUACUUCUUGAACUGGAACUUCCAGAACCAUGAACCAAAAUAAACCUUUUCUCUUUAUGUUAAUUGCCUGUGGCAUUUUAUCAUAGUGGUGGA
Heterocephalus glaber (naked mole-rat) is the source of this 398-nucleotide long non-coding RNA. NCBI's taxonomy places the organism in Eukaryota, Metazoa, Chordata, Mammalia, Rodentia, Bathyergidae. The record is from Ensembl.